Regulatory RNA element from Sporomusa malonica, 153 nucleotides. It matches the Rfam family "Ribosomal protein L10 leader". Rfam says of the family: This family is a putative r-protein leader autoregulatory structure found in B. subtilis and other low-GC Gram-positive bacteria. It is located in the 5' untranslated regions of mRNAs encoding ribosomal proteins L10 and L12 (rplJ-rplL). The record is from Rfam. NCBI's taxonomy places the organism in Bacteria, Bacillati, Bacillota, Negativicutes, Selenomonadales, Sporomusaceae.
GAGAUGAAUAUUAUGAGGCUGUAGACAGUAGGUAUUGAUAAAAAGCGUUAAGCUUGCCUACCGAGGCCGGGGAUUUGCAGCGUGUAGCUAUUAAAUUAGUUAUAAUGCGGCCUCCGGUGUGUUUACACUAGAGGCCGCUUUUUAAUUUUGAUA